GAUGAACGCUGGCGGCGUGCCUAAUACAUGCAAGUCGAGCGAACAGACGAGGAGCUUGCUCCUCUGACGUUAGCGGCGGACGGGUGAGUAACACGUGGAUAACCUACCUAUAAGACUGGGAUAACUUCGGGAAACCGGAGCUAAUACCGGAUAAUAUAUUGAACCGCAUGGUUCAAUAGUGAAAGACGGUUUUGCUGUCACUUAUAGAUGGAUCCGCGCCGCAUUAGCUAGUUGGUAAGGUAACGGCUUACCAAGGCAACGAUGCGUAGCCGACCUGAGAGGGUGACCGGCCACACUGGAACUGAAACACGGUCCAGACUCCUACGGGAGGCAGCAGUAGGGAAUCUUCCGCAAUGGGCGAAAGCCUGACGGAGCAACGCCGCGUGAGUGAUGAAGGUCUUCGGAUCGUAAAACUCUGUUAUUAGGGAAGAACAAAUGUGUAAGUAACUAUGCACGUCUUGACGGUACCUAAUCAGAAAGCCACGGCUAACUACGUG
This 497-nucleotide ribosomal RNA is filed under the name uncultured bacterium. RNAcentral's name for it is "partial 16S ribosomal RNA". It matches the Rfam family "Bacterial small subunit ribosomal RNA", at positions 28 to 507 of the family's 1533-position model. The record is from RNAcentral.